This 468-nucleotide ribosomal RNA is filed under the name uncultured bacterium. RNAcentral's name for it is "partial 16S ribosomal RNA". It matches the Rfam family "Bacterial small subunit ribosomal RNA", at positions 28 to 507 of the family's 1533-position model. The record is from RNAcentral.
GACGAACGCUGGCGGCGUGCUUAACACAUGCAAGUCGAACGGAAAGGCCCUGCUUUUGUGGGGUGCUCGGGUGGCGAACGGGUAAGUAACACGUGAGUAACCUGCCCUGGACUUUGGGAUAACUUCAGGAAACUGGGGCUGAUACCGGAUAGGAUCUCCUGCUGCAUGGUGGGGGUUGGAAAGUUUCGGCGGUUGGGGAUGGACUCGCGGCUUAUCAGCUUGUUGGUGGGGUAGUGGCUUACCAAGGCUUUGACGGGUAGCCGGCCUGAGAGGGUGACCGGCCACAUUGCGACUGAGGUCACGCUCAGACUACUACGGGCGGCAGCGGUCGAGAGUAUUGUCCAGUCGCAGGCAGCAUGAUGAAGAAACGUGGCGUGCGGGAUCACGCACUCCGACUCGUCAACCGCCUUCGCCUUAGACGAAGCGAGAGUGACCGUACUGGGUAAAGCAGACCCGGCUAACUAUAUU